RNAcentral lists this ribosomal RNA (293 nucleotides) under uncultured Oxalobacter sp. RNAcentral describes it as "partial 16S ribosomal RNA". It matches the Rfam family "Bacterial small subunit ribosomal RNA", at positions 505 to 793 of the family's 1533-position model. The record is from RNAcentral. Lineage: Bacteria; Pseudomonadati; Pseudomonadota; Betaproteobacteria; Burkholderiales; Oxalobacteraceae.
GUGCCAGCAGCCGCGGUAAUACGUAGGGUGCAAGCGUUAAUCGGAAUUACUGGGCGUAAAGUGUGCGCAGGCGGUUGUGCAAGACAGAUGUGAAAUCCCUGGGCUUAACCCUGGAAUUGCAUUUGUGGCUGCACGGCUAGAGUGUGUCAGAGGGGGGUAGAAUUCCACGUGUAGCAGUGAAAUGCGUAGAUAUGUGGAGGAAUACCGAUGGCGAAGGCAGCCCCCUGGGAUAACACUGACGCUCAUGCACGAAAGCGUGGGGAGCAAACAGGAUUAGAUACCCCUCCUUGUAG